AUUUAAAUAGUUUAAUAAAAUAUUAAUUUGUGGGGUUAAAGAUUUAAUUUAAUAUUAAUUUAAAUU
RNAcentral lists this transfer RNA (66 nucleotides) under Euurobracon breviterebrae. RNAcentral describes it as "tRNA-His". The record is from RNAcentral. Lineage: Eukaryota; Metazoa; Arthropoda; Insecta; Hymenoptera; Braconidae.